Leopardus geoffroyi (Geoffroy's cat) is the source of this 633-nucleotide long non-coding RNA. RefSeq lists it as uncharacterized. The transcript is spliced from 4 exons. NCBI's taxonomy places the organism in Eukaryota, Metazoa, Chordata, Mammalia, Carnivora, Felidae. The record is from RefSeq and is a predicted model, not a curated record.
CUUGUGAGGUGUAUGGGCUCCUUUAAUGGGGGCAGUUUGUAUGGAAGCUUCUGAUUCCAGUAUUUCUGUGGCAACCUAAGAACACAAAGUUCAUCAGAUGGACGCUCACACAUAUACUCACCGUGAGGACAUAGGGAUGUGAAUGUACAGGAGACGACUAAGAGGUACAGUUCAGCAGCUGGUUUUCUCCACUGGGGAGAACGUGACAAGGGAGAAGGUCAGAGCUCCGAGCUCCUAGAGUACACAGACACAUUUAAUGAUAGUUCCCUGUACAGAAGCUAUGAUGACUCCCUGUGGACACUUGGGCAUUUCGGGAAGAAGCAGACUAUCGGGACUCUUGUUCACUCGAUAAGACAAGCUGCCAUGUUGGAAAGGACUACGUGGGAAGAACUGAAGGUGGUCUCUGGGCCAACAGCCAGCAAGGAACUGAGGCCCUCAACCCAACAAUCCUCAAGGAACAAAAUCUUGUCAACAAUACAUGAACGAAUGUGGUAGUAGAUCCUUUCUCAGUUGGGCCUUCAGGUAUGUCUGCAUACAUUUAUUCACCAUUUGAACUUUCUUAAUGACUUCAUUCCACACCCACCAUUUGCUGUGAAAUCCAUCAAUCACAUACCAGUUCUGAUGUUGUUCUUG